AAUAUGUCUUAUGGUGAAAUUGUGAAAAUUGUGAAAAUUGUGAAUAUGAUAUGUGAAAAUUGCAGUUAAUAUGUGAAAUUAUAGGAAAAUACAGAAAUUUGAAUAAUUGUAGAAAUAUGUGAGAAUUGUAAGAAAUAUGUGAAAUUUGUUGAAAAUUUGUAAAAAUUGUAUAAAUAUGUGAAAAUUUGUGAAAUAUUACGAAAAUAGGAAAGAAAUUAAAUUUGUAAGAAAGAAAUUAAAUUUGUAGGAAUUAAAUUAAAUUUGUAGGGAAGUAAUUAAAUUUGUAGUAAGGAAAUUAAAUUUGUAGGAAAAAUAAAUAAAAUUGUAGGAACCAAAUUAAAUUUGUGUGAACGAAAUUUAUUGUGUUAUUUUUUCAUAGAUAUCAUCGUGGUUGAUCAAUAGUGGUCGCCACUCUGCCUCCACUUUGGGCUAGAGUGACCCGGCGGCCGAGAUACCGAGUAGAACCCAGGCGGCCAAUGCCGAGUCGUCGGCAUGCCCCAGUACAUUUGCUGCAUCAGGUUGGGUGCCUCGAUCUGCCAGGCAUGUUUAUAGCCAGAGACGGCACGAACAUGUGCCAGCCCCACCUCACCUUGUUAAAACUGAGGAGGCUGAUGCCGAUUCGGUAACUGUGCGCCCGAAAGGAGACGGAGAACUCACAACUGGGAAGAAGACCAAAGUGUGGGGGAUGAGAUUUGACCUCCAACCAGAUCACUGGCUUAUAGCAUAACCAGAUCGUGAUCGAUUACAACCACUCAAUUGGCAAGUGAACCUGAAAGUCAACAGCUUGUUGACUCACGACAUGAGUACCAUCACCAAUGUAUCCAAUUAUCCAUCGACAUGCACCACCUGGGUACGGAAGAGUACAUAAACCGGGUGUGGGCUAAGCGGUACAAGGAGUGGAAGUACGAGAUGCACUUGUACUACAACACUUGUGCAUUUCCUGUUGAUGUUUCUAUCGAUCACCCCCAGAGUUUGCAGAGAAGAUUGCCAAGUGGGAGUGGUUAUGUGGUCAUUUUCGGAGCCCGACAUUUUUGUUGUUGAUGGAUGGGGUUGGGCGAAGAAAAGGCAAAACGACCUAGGAGCGGGUUGGAUCGAGUUUGAGAUCUCUGAAGGUUCAUCUAGUAGUCUGACUAUGUGCAAGGUGUCUUCCAGACUACACUAGUUGGAGAUAGAGCUAACAAUCAUGUGCUAGCGAGGAUAAGAAGCUAGAGAAGAAGCACGCCAACGAGAAUAAGUUGUGCGCCAUCAAGAAGAAGCUCGGGAGGUAGUCAUGCACUAGCGAGAGGAGGGCCUUCUGCUUACAUUGCUGGGAUAGCCCAAACAAUGUCACCCUCUUACAUUUGCCUUCUUGAUCCUCUGAGCGACCUUCAGCCACCAUCCCACCAGCCACCCAGUAGUCGUAGUUAGUUUAGUAUUUUACAUAUAAUUGUAUGAAUAUUUUAUUUAUAAUAAUCUAAAAUUUUAAAAUAAAUCAAAAUAUUAAAGAAUAG
This is a non-coding RNA of Malus domestica (apple), 1490 nucleotides long. The record is from RefSeq and is a predicted model, not a curated record. Lineage: Eukaryota; Viridiplantae; Streptophyta; Magnoliopsida; Rosales; Rosaceae.